Molecule: ribosomal RNA, 156 nt
Filed under: Ophiocordyceps sinensis
Lineage: Eukaryota; Fungi; Ascomycota; Sordariomycetes; Hypocreales; Ophiocordycipitaceae
Description: 5.8S ribosomal RNA
Rfam family: 5.8S ribosomal RNA
About the family: 5.8S ribosomal RNA (5.8S rRNA) is a component of the large subunit of the eukaryotic ribosome. It is transcribed by RNA polymerase I as part of the 45S precursor that also contains 18S and 28S rRNA.
Source: RNAcentral
AACUUUCAACAACGGAUCUCUUGGUUCUGGCAUCGAUGAAGAACGCAGCGAAAUGCGAUAAGUAAUGUGAAUUGCAGAAUUCAGUGAACCAUCGAAUCUUUGAACGCACAUUGCGCCCGCCAGCACUCUGGCGGGCAUGCCUGUCCGAGCGUCAUC